AGAUUUUAGUUAUCUACUUGGAUAACGGUGGUAAUUCUAGAGCUAAUACAUGCACAAAAGCUCGGACCUUACGGAAAGAGCGCAUUUAUUAGAACAAAACCAAUCGGUCGCACGUUUCGGCGUCGGCCGGCAAAUUGGUGACUCUGAAUAACUAAGUUGAUCGCACAGUCUUAGAACUGGCGACGUAUCUUUCAAAUAUCUGCCUUAUCAACUUUCGAUGGUAGGUUAUACGCCUACCAUGGUUAUAACGGGUAACGGAGAAUAAGGGUUCGACUCCGGAGAGGGAGCCUGAGAAAUGGCUACCACAUCCAAGGAAGGCAGCAGGCGCGCAAAUUACCCAAUCCCAGUACGGGGAGGUAGUGACGAAAAAUAACGAGAUAGUCCACUAUGUGGCCUGUCAUCGGAAUGGGUACAAUUUAAAUCUUUUAACGAGGAUCUAUUAGAGGGCAAGUCUGGUGCCAGCAGCCGCGGUAAUUCCAGCUCUAAUAGCGUAUAUUAAAGUUGUUGUGGUUAAAACGCCCGUAGUUGAUUUUUCGACUUUGGAGCGCGGUAUCUCGAAAGAGUUUUAACUGCGUCUGCCAAGUCUGAUCUUCUUGUUUUCUAUGGAUGCUCUUUAUUGAGUGUCUUUAGUGACUUGAACGUUUACUUUGAAAAAAUUAGAGUGCUUAAAGCAAGCUUCAUCGCUUGAAUAAAGUGCAUGGGAUAAUGGAAUAGGACUUUAGUCUUAUUUUGUUGGUUUUAGAGAUUAAAGUAAUGAUUAAGAGGAAUAGACGGGGGCAUUUGUAUUGUUGCGUUAGAGGUGAAAUUCUUGGAUCGCAGCAAGACAAACAACUGCGAAAGCAUUUGCCAAGAAUGUUUUCAUUAAUCAAGGACGAAAGUUAGAGGUUCGAAGGCGAUCAGAUACCGCCCUAGUUCUAACCGUAAACGAUGCCAACUGGCCAUUCGCCGGUGUUAAUAAAUGACUCGGCGGGCAGCUUCCGGGAAACCAAAGUUUUCUGGUUCCGGGGGAAGUAUGGUUGCAAAGCUUAAACUUAAAGGAAUUGACGGAAGGGCACCACCAGGAGUGGAGCCUGCGGCUUAAUUGACUCAACACGGA
Molecule: ribosomal RNA, 1096 nt
Filed under: aff. Mermithidae sp. Ki1
Lineage: Eukaryota; Metazoa; Nematoda; Enoplea
Description: SSU rRNA
Rfam family: Eukaryotic small subunit ribosomal RNA
Source: RNAcentral